Molecule: ribosomal RNA, 437 nt
Filed under: uncultured bacterium
Lineage: Bacteria
Description: bacterial SSU rRNA
Rfam family: Bacterial small subunit ribosomal RNA
Source: RNAcentral
AACGCGAAGAACCUUACCAAGGCUUAAAUGGGAAUUGACAGGUUUAGAAAUAGACUUUUCUUCGGACAAUUUUCAAGGUGCUGCAUGGUUGUCGUCAGCUCGUGCCGUGAGGUGUUAGGUUAAGUCCUGCAACGAGCGCAACCCCUGUCACUAGUUGCCAUCAUUGAGUUGGGGACUCUAGUGAGACUGCCUACGCAAGUAGAGAGGAAGGUGGGGAUGACGUCAAAUCAUCACGGCCCUUACGCCUUGGGCCACACACGUAAUACAAUGGCCGGUACAGAGGGCAGCUACCAAGUGAUUGGAUGCGAAUCUCGAAAGCCGGUCUCAGUUCGGAUUGGAGUCUGCAACUCGACUCUAUGAAGCUGGAAUCGCUAGUAAUCGCGCAUCAGCCAUGGCGCGGUGAAUACGUUCCCGGGCCUUGUACACACCGCUACAGU